AUUGAACGCUGGCGGCAUGCCUUACACAUGCAAGUCGAACGGCAGCACGGGAGCAAUCCUGGUGGCGAGUGGCGAACGGGUGAGUAAUAUAUCGGAACGUGCCCAGUCGUGGGGGAUAACGUAGAGAAAUUUACGCUAAUACCGCAUACGAUCUAAGGAUGAAAGCGGGGGACUCAGCAAUGAGCCUCGCGCGAUUGGAGCGGCUGAUAUCAGAUUAGGUUGUUGGUGAGGUAAAAGCUCACCAAGCCGACGAUCUGUAGCUGGUUUGAGAGAACGACCAGCCACACUGGGACUGAGACACGGCCCAGACUCCUACGGGAGGCAGCAGUGGGGAAUUUUGGACAAUGGGCGAAAGCCUGAUCCAGCAAUGCCGCGUGUGGGAAGAAGGCCUUCGGGUUGUAAACCACUUUUGUACGGAACGAAAAGGUCUGCCCUAAUACGGUGGGCCCAUGACGGUACCGUAAGAAUAAGCACCGGCUAACUACGUGCCAGCAGCCGCGGUAAUACGUAGGGUGCGAGCGUUAAUCGGAAUUACUGGGCGUAAAGCGUGCGCAGGCGGUUAUAUAAGACAGUUGUGAAAUCCCCGGGCUCAACCUGGGAAUUGCAUCUGUGACUGUAUAGCUAGAGUACGGUAGAGGGGGAUGGAAUUCCGCGUGUAGCAGUGAAAUGCGUAGAUAUGCGGAGGAACACCGAUGGCGAAGGCAAUCCCCUGGACCUGUACUGACGCUCAUGCACGAAAGCGUGGGGAGCAAACAGGAUUAGAUACCCUGGUAGUCCACGCCCUAAACGAUGUCAACUGGUUGUUGGGUGCAUUAGUACUCAGUAACGAAGCUAACGCGUGAAGUUGACCGCCUGGGGAGUACGGCCGCAAGGUUGAAACUCAAGGAAUUGACGGGGAC
RNAcentral lists this ribosomal RNA (899 nucleotides) under uncultured bacterium. Its description in RNAcentral is "bacterial SSU rRNA". It matches the Rfam family "Bacterial small subunit ribosomal RNA", at positions 28 to 920 of the family's 1533-position model. The record is from RNAcentral.